Molecule: long non-coding RNA, 265 nt
Organism: Vidua chalybeata
Lineage: Eukaryota; Metazoa; Chordata; Aves; Passeriformes; Viduidae
Exons: 3
Source: RefSeq, a predicted model, not a curated record
GAAGCCUCUCUGCUUUCCCACGAGACCUUACCGGCACCUGACCGGUCUUUCCUACACCCCACAAGGUCUCUCCAUCGCCCUACAAAGCCCCAGAGCUGUCCCACAAGGGUCUGGAGGCCUUCAGAGGUUACCACCAGCCAGCUCUGGGAGUUUGGGAUCACUAACUUUACCUUUCACUUCAGAGAGUUCAGACAUGGCCAGAGAGCCUGGGAGCUACAUGGAGGAGGUGGCACCAGGAGGACUCUCCUGAUCACACAUUCUUCCU